This 468-nucleotide ribosomal RNA is filed under the name uncultured bacterium. RNAcentral describes it as "partial 16S ribosomal RNA". It matches the Rfam family "Bacterial small subunit ribosomal RNA", at positions 28 to 507 of the family's 1533-position model. The record is from RNAcentral.
GACGAACGCUGGCGGCGUGCUUAACACAUGCAAGUCGAACGGAAAGGCCCUGCUUUUGUGGGGUGCUCGAGUGGCGAACGGGUGAGUAACACGUGAGUAACCUGCCCUUGACUUUGGGAUAACUUCAGGAAACUGGGGCUAAUACCGGAUAGGAGCUCCUGCUGCAUGGUGGGGGUUGGAAAGUUUCGGCGGUUGGGGAUGGACUCGCGGCUGAUCAGCUUGUUGGUGGGGUAGUGGCUUACCAAGGCUUUGACGGGUAGCCGGCCUGAGAGGGUGACCGGCCACAUUGGGACUGAGAUACGGCCCAGACUCCUACGGGAGGCAGCAGUGGGGAAUAUUGCACAAUGGGCGGAAGCCUGAUGCAGCAACGCCGCGUGCGGGAUGACGGCCUUCGGGUUGUAAACCGCUUUCGCCUGUGACGAAGCGUGAGUGACGGUAAUGGGUAAAGAAGCACCGGCUAACUACGUG